AACGCACCUUGCGCUCCUUGGUAUUCCGAGGAGCAUGCCUGUUUGAGUGUCAUUAAUAUAUAUAUCAAACUUCUCUUGUUGAGUGGUUUGGAUGUGGGGGUUUGCUGGCCUCUUAAAUGGGGUUCAGCUCUCCUGAAAUGCAUUAGCAGAACAAACCCUGUGUUCAUUGGUGUGAUAACUAUCUACGCUAUUGAAUGUAAGGGGCAGUUCAGCUUUCUAACAGUCCUUGGACAAUUCAUCAUUAAUGUGACCUCAAAUCAGGUAGGACUACCCGCUGAACUUAA
Molecule: unclassified non-coding RNA, 284 nt
Filed under: uncultured fungus
Lineage: Eukaryota; Fungi
Description: sequence contains ITS2
Rfam family: 5.8S ribosomal RNA (bases 1-52)
Source: RNAcentral